GUCCUAGCUGUAAACGGUGCAUAUUUGCUGUAAAAGGAUUCGACCCCUUUUGUGGCGAAGCUAACGCGAUAAAUAUGCCGCCUGGGAAGUACGGUCGCAAGAUUAAAACUCAAAGAAAUUGACGGGGCCUGCACAAGCGGUGGAGUAUGUGGCUUAAUUCGAUGCAACGCGAAGAACCUUACCUGGCCUUGACAUGCGUGUAGUAGGAGGAUGAAAGUCCGACGAGGUAGCAAUACCAGCGCGCACAGGUGCUGCAUGGCUGUCGU
RNAcentral lists this ribosomal RNA (266 nucleotides) under uncultured bacterium. RNAcentral's name for it is "partial 16S ribosomal RNA". It matches the Rfam family "Bacterial small subunit ribosomal RNA", at positions 793 to 1055 of the family's 1533-position model. The record is from RNAcentral.